GAUGAAACUUUUUUGAUUUCUUCGGAAUGAAAAAAAGUGGAUUAGUGGCGGACGGGUGAGUAACGCGUGAGUAACCUGCCUUAGAGAAGGGGAUAGCCUUUGGAAACGAAGAAUAAUACCCUAUGAAACCAUAACCUCGCAUGAGGCCAUGGUCAAAGAUUUAUCGCUCUAAGAUGGACUUGCGUCUGAUUAGUUAGUUGGUGGGGUAACGGCCCACCAAGACAGCGAUCAGUAGCCGGCUUGAGAGAGUGUACGGCCACAUUGGGACUGAGACACGGCCCAGACUCCUACGGGAGGCAGCAGUGGGGAAUUUUGCACAAUGGGGGAAACCCUGAUGCAGCGACGCCGCGUGAUUUAGAAGGCCUUCGGGUUGUAAAAAUCUUUUCUAUGGGAAGAAAAUGACAGUACCAUAGGAAUAAGGACCGGCUAAUUACGUGCCAGCAGCCGCGGUAAUACGUAAGGUCCGAGCGUUGUCCGGAAUCAUUGGGCGUAAAGGGUACGUAGGCGGGUAAGCAAGUUAGAAGUGAAAUCCUAUAGCUCAACUAUAGUAAGCUUUUAAAACUGCUCAUCUUGAGGUAUGGAAGGGAAAGUGGAAUUCCUAGUGUAGCGGUGAAAUGCGCAGAUAUUAGGAGGAAUACCGGUGGCGAAGGCGACUUUCUGGCCAUAACCUGACGCUGAGGUACGAAAGCGUGGGUAGCAAACAGGAUUAGAUACCCUGGUAGUCCACGCCGUAAACGAUGAGUGUUAGGUGUCUGGAGUAAAUCUGGGUGCCGCAGCUAACGCAUUAAACACUCCGCCUGGGGAGUACGCGCGCAAGCGUG
Molecule: ribosomal RNA, 821 nt
Filed under: uncultured Clostridia bacterium
Lineage: Bacteria; Bacillati; Bacillota; Clostridia
Description: bacterial SSU rRNA
Rfam family: Bacterial small subunit ribosomal RNA
Source: RNAcentral